CCUACGGGGGGCAGCAGGCGCGAAAACUUUACAAUGCAGGCAACUGUGAUAAGGGAACCCCGAGUGCCCGUAUGGACGGGCUGUUCAGGUGCUUAAAAACCACCUGGAGAAAGGGCCGGGCAAGACCGGUGCCAGCCGCCGCGGUAAUACCGGCGGCUCGAGUGGUGGCCACUAUUACUGGGCUUAAAGCGUCCGUAGCUUGGUCGUUAAGCCUCUGGGGAAAUCUUCCGGCUCAACCGGAAGGCGUCUCAGGGGAACUGGCGACCUAGGGAUCGGGAGAGGUGAGAGGUACUCUGGGGGUAGGAGUGAAAUCCUGUAAUCCUCAGGGGACCACCUGUGGCGAAGGCGUCUCACCAGAACGACUCCGACAGUGAGGGACGAAAGCUGGGGGAGCAAACCGGAUUAGAUACCCGCGUAGUCC
This 421-nucleotide ribosomal RNA is filed under the name uncultured Methanofollis sp. RNAcentral's name for it is "bacterial SSU rRNA". It matches the Rfam family "Archaeal small subunit ribosomal RNA", at positions 322 to 747 of the family's 1478-position model. The record is from RNAcentral. Lineage: Archaea; Methanobacteriati; Methanobacteriota; Methanomicrobia; Methanomicrobiales; Methanomicrobiaceae.